GAUCCUGCCGGACCUGACUGCUAUCGGAUUGAUACUAAGCCAUGCGAGUCAUUGUAGCAAUACAAGGUUCUCGGCUCAGUAACGCGUAGUCAACCUAACCUAUGGACGGGAAUAACCUCGGGAAACUGAGAAUAAUGCCCGAUAGAACACUAUGCCUGGAAUGGUUUGUGUUCCAAAUGAUUUAUCGCCGUAGGAUGGGACUGCGGCCUAUCAGUUUGUUGGUGAGGUAAUGGCCCACCAAGACUAUUACAGGUACGGGCUCUGAGAGGAGUAGCCCGGAGAUGGGUACUGAGACACGGACCCAGGCCCUAUGGGGCGCAGCAGGCGAGAAAACUUUGCAAUGUGCGAAAGCACGACAAGGUUAAUCCGAGUGGUUUCUGCUAAAGGAACCUUUUGUCGGUCCUAGAAACACCGAUGAAUAAGGGGUGGGCAAGUUCUGGUGUCAGCCGCCGCGGUAAAACCAGCACCUCAAGUGGUCAGGAUGAUUAUUGGGCCUAAAGCAUCCGUAGCCUGCUUUGUUAGUUUUCGGUUAAAUCUAUACGCUCAACGUAUAGGCUGCCGGGAAUACUGCAAAGCUAGGGAGUGGGAGAGGUAGACGGUACUCGGUAGGAAGGGGUAAAAUCCUUUGAUCUAUUGAUGACCACCUGUGGCGAAGGCGGUCUACCAGAACACGUCCGACGGUGAGGGAUGAAAGCUGGGGGAGCAAACCGGAUUAGAUACCCGGGUAGUCCCAGCCGUAAACCAUGCAAACUCAGUGAUGCAUUGGCUUGUGGCCAAUGCAGUGCUGCAGGGAAGCCGUUAAGUUUGCCGCCUGGGAAGUACGUACGCAAGUAUGAAACUUAAAGGAAUUGGCGGGGGAGCACCACAAGGGGUGAAGCCUGCGGUUCAAUUGGAUUCAACGCCGGG
Molecule: ribosomal RNA, 906 nt
Filed under: uncultured archaeon
Lineage: Archaea
Description: bacterial SSU rRNA
Rfam family: Archaeal small subunit ribosomal RNA
Source: RNAcentral